GAUGAAGAACGUAGCGAAAUGCGAUAAGUAAUGCGAAUUGCAGAAUUUCCGUGAGUCAUCGAAUCUUUGAACGCACAUUGCGCCCACUGGUAUUCCGGUGGGCAUGCCUGUUCGAGCGUCAUUAUCCUCCCUCAAACCCCGGGUUUGGUGUUGGACCCAAGUUGUGUGAACAACUGGUCUUAAAGACAAUGACGGCGUCCGUGGGACCCUCGGUGCAACGAGCUUUUAGGAGCACGCAUCGAGUUGCAAGGACCUUCCGGGCCGGUCUCCUUUACUAUUUUGCAAGGUUGACCUCGGAUCAGGUAGGAAUACCCGCUGAACUUAAGCAUAUCAAUAAGCGGAGGA
RNAcentral lists this unclassified non-coding RNA (345 nucleotides) under soil metagenome. RNAcentral's name for it is "partial contains 5.8S ribosomal RNA, internal transcribed spacer 2, and large subunit ribosomal RNA". The stretch from base 1 to 121 matches the Rfam family "5.8S ribosomal RNA", at positions 35 to 154 of the family's 154-position model. The record is from RNAcentral.